CCUACGUGAGGCAGCAGUGAGGAAUCUUGGUCAAUGGGCGCGAGCCUGAACCAGCCAAGUAGCGUGAAGGAUGACUGCCCUACGGGUUGUAAACUUCUUUUAUAAAGGAAUAAAGUGAGGCACGUGUGCCUUUUUGUAUGUACUUUAUGAAUAAGGAUCGGCUAACUCCGUGCCAGCAGCCGCGGUAAUACGGAGGAUCCGAGCGUUAUCCGGAUUUAUUGGGUUUAAAGGGAGCGUAGAUGGGUUGUUAAGUCAGUUGUGAAAGUUUGCGGCUCAACCGUAAAAUUGCAAUUGAUACUGGCAGUCUUGAGUACAGUUGAGGUAGGCGGAAUUCGUGGUGUAGCGGUGAAAUGCUUAGAUAUCACGAAGAACUCCGAUUGCGAAGGCAGCUUACUAAACUGCCACUGACAUUGAUGCUCGAAAGUGUGGGUAUCAAACAGGAUUAGAUACCCUUGUAGUC
This 460-nucleotide ribosomal RNA is filed under the name uncultured bacterium. RNAcentral's name for it is "partial 16S ribosomal RNA". It matches the Rfam family "Bacterial small subunit ribosomal RNA", at positions 338 to 795 of the family's 1533-position model. The record is from RNAcentral.